UGACUACAGUAGUUUUUAUGACAGUCUAGUUCGGGUUGGCCAGCGCUACUCCAGAAGUCACCUGUAGAUGUCGCCAAAAUAACUCAACCAACACAUGGAGUAGGCUAUGUGAUGUUAUAUUUUAAUAUUAGAAUACAUUUUCUCAUUAAACCUGUUAUCAGAUUUAUAUUGUUAUUCUGGUUGUUAGAACUGAAGUUGAACAUAAAGCGUCUCUUAUAAUUUCUUAACACAAAGCAUUUUAAUCAGAGAGGACAGAACUUCGCUGCUGUCUUAGCAUUGCAAAUUCAAAUGCGACCUGUAAAGUUCCCGGGAAUAAGAGCAGGUUUGCAUAUGACCGCCGCUUAUACACACACUCAGAAACACCCAAUGUGUUCCCUGACCAGGGAACGAGUGCUGUCUGUAUCAACUGCGCGUUUAUUUAGCACAUUCCUCCUGCACUUGAAGUCGAUGUGCGCCGCUGGGCACAACAACACUCACUAAACUGCUCGACUUCUCUCCUGUCAGAGGAAGACACGAUGGGAUGCACUUCUAGCACUCAGACCACAGCUCAAGACACAACACGACCCAACACCAAACGAGAUGGGAGCACAUCAGGAACAAAUAAUGAAAACGGUGGCCCUGCAGCAGACAGCGAGACAAUUCCAGACCAAACCCAGGCCGAGGAAUCUCCACAGACAUCCAGUGCAGCUCCUGUUGCCUCGGAGGAAAUACAGAGCUCUGUGGCUGCCGUAGCUCACAAUGAACCAGAAGCAGCUGCUGCUGAGGCCAUUACAUCUGACCAGCCUGCUGAACCCGAAUCAAACCCCUCCACAACAGCUGACAAUACCGAAGAACCAGCACCAAGUGAAAACACAACUGAGGACCAGGCUAAAUCUUCCCCACCAGAGGACGUGCCUGGUAAGUAGGGUAAUAUGAUGCAAGACGGACCUAAAAAUCUUCUCCUGAGGAUAAAUGUCUUGUCUGAUUUCCCAUACCACUUCAUCUCUUUCAGCCUCUGGUGAAGAUAGUUAAGUGCGCAUCAUUUGGCACAGUUACUACAGAAUCCGGAUUCAACCACCUAUUUUCAAUAAAAUAAAGAUUCACAUGAAUGGUUUCAAAAUACAGUGGAACAUUAGUUUAUUUAUUAUAUAGAUAUUGCUUGUUCGUUGCCAAGAUUUAGACCAACUGGUCUUCAGAGACUCUGUGCCUGUCUUUGUAUACACAGGAUACAAACAUCACACUAGUUAUAGUUUAGUGAAUUAUAAUUGCUGGCUUUAGCUAGAGAUUUCCUUCAUCGAUAUUUAAUAUUGGUGCCUAUUUUAGUGGCUUUACCCCUUUAUAAAAAAUGCAAAAAGCCAAAGAGAAUAUGAAAAUCGUGGAAUGCUAUUUAUAUAAUUAUGUAAUAUUUUAACCAACUGAAAUAAAAU
Molecule: long non-coding RNA, 1406 nt
Filed under: Sinocyclocheilus grahami
Lineage: Eukaryota; Metazoa; Chordata; Actinopteri; Cypriniformes; Cyprinidae
Description: lncRNA (ENSSGRG00000049990.1)
Source: RNAcentral